GACGAACGCUGGCGGCGUGCUUAACACAUGCAAGUCGAACGGAAAGGCCCUGCUUUUGUGGGGUGCUCGAGUGGCGAACGGGUGAGUAACACGUGAGUAACCUGCCCUUGACUUUGGGAUAACUUCAGGAAACUGGGGCUAAUACCGGAUAGGAGCUCCUGCUGCAUGGUGGGGGUUGGAAAGUUUCGGCGGUUGGGGAUGGACUCGCGGCUUAUCAGCUUGUUGGUGGGGUAGUGGCUUACCAAGGCUUUGACGGGUAGCCGGCCUGAGAGGGUGACCGGCCACAUUGGGACUGAGAUACGGACCAGACGCCUACGGGAGGCAGCGGUGGGGAAUAUUGCGCAGUGGGCGGAAGCCUGAUGCAGCAACGCCGCGUGCGGGAUGACGGCCUUCGGGUUGUAAACCGCUUUCGCCGGUGACGAAGCGUGAGUGACGGUAAUGGGUAAAGAAGCACCGGCUAACUACGUG
Molecule: ribosomal RNA, 468 nt
Filed under: uncultured bacterium
Lineage: Bacteria
Description: partial 16S ribosomal RNA
Rfam family: Bacterial small subunit ribosomal RNA
Source: RNAcentral